AAUACUCCUGACUGACCGAUAGUGAACCAGUACCGUGAGGGAAAGGCGAAAAGAACCCCGGCGAGGGGAGUGAAAAAGAACCUGAAACCGUGUACGUACAAGCAGUGGGAGCACGCUUAGGCGUGUGACUGCGUACCUUUUGUAUAAUGGGUCAGCGACUUAUAUUCUGUAGCAAGGUUAACCGAAUAGGGGAGCCGAAGGGAAACCGAGUCUUAACUGGGCGUUAAGUUGCAGGGUAUAGACCCGAAACCCGGUGAUCUAGCCAUGGGCAGGUUGAAGGUUGGGUAACACUAACUGGAGGACCGAACCGACUAAUGUUGAAAAAUUAGCGGAUGACUUGUGGCUGGGGGUGAAAGGCCAAUCAAACCGGGAGAUAGCUGGUUCUCCCCGAAAGCUAUUUAGGUAGCGCCUCGUGAAUUCAUCUCCGGGGGUAGAGCACUGUUUCGGCAAGGGGGUCAUCCCGACUUACCAACCCGAUGCAAACUGCGAAUACCGGAGAAUGUUAUCACGGGAGACACACGGCGGGUGCUAACGUCCGUCGUGAAGAGGGAAACAACCCAGACCGCCAGCUAAGGUCCCAAAGUCAUGGUUAAGUGGGAAACGAUGUGGGAAGGCCCAGACAGCCAGGAUGUUGGCUUAGAAGCAGCCAUCAUUUAAAGAAAGCGUAAUAGCUCACUGGUCGAGUCGGCCUGCGCGGAAGAUGUAACGGGGCUAAACCAUGCACCGAAGCUGCGGCAGCGACGCUGAUGCGUUGUUGGGUAGGGGAGCGUUCUGUAAGCCUGCGAAGGUGUGCUGUGAGGCAUGCUGGAGGUAUCAGAAGUGCGAAUGCUGACAUAAGUAACGAUAAAGCGGGUGAAAAGCCCGCUCGCCGGAAGACCAAGGGUUCCUGUCCAACGUUAAUCGGGGCAGGGUGAGUCGACCCCUAAGGCGAGGCCGAAAGGCGUAGUCGAUGGGAAACAGGUUAAUAUUCCUGUACUUGGUGUUACUGCGAAGGGGGGACGGAGAAGGCUAUGUUGGCCGGGCGACGGUUGUCCCGGUUUAAGCGUGUAGGCUGGUUUUCCAGGCAAAUCCGGAAAAUCAAGGCUGAGGCGUGAUGACGAGGCACUGCGGUGCUGAAGCAACAAAUGCCCUGCUUCCAGGAAAAGCCUCUAAGCAUCAGGUAACAUCAAAUCGUACCCCAAACCGACACAGGUGGUCAGGUAGAGAAUACCAAGGCGCUUGAGAGAACUCGGGUGAAGGAACUAGGCAAAAUGGUGCCGUAACUUCGGGAGAAGGCACGCUGAUAUGUAGGUGAAGUCCCUCGCGGAUGGAGCUGAAAUCAGUCGAAGAUACCAGCUGGCUGCAACUGUUUAUUAAAAACACAGCACUGUGCAAACACGAAAGUGGACGUAUACGGUGUGACGCCUGCCCGGUGCCGGAAGGUUAAUUGAUGGGGUUAGCGCAAGCGAAGCUCUUGAUCGAAGCCCCGGUAAACGGCGGCCGUAACUAUAACGGUCCUAAGGUAGCGAAAUUCCUUGUCGGGUAAGUUCCGACCUGCACGAAUGGCGUAAUGAUGGCCAGGCUGUCUCCACCCGAGACUCAGUGAAAUUGAACUCGCUGUGAAGAUGCAGUGUACCCGCGGCAAGACGGAAAGACCCCGUGAACCUUUACUAUAGCUUGACACUGAACAUUGAGCCUUGAUGUGUAGGAUAGGUGGGAGGCUUUGAAGUGUGGACGCCAGUCUGCAUGGAGCCGACCUUGAAAUACCACCCUUUAAUGUUUGAUGUUCUAACGUUGACCCGUAAUCCGGGUUGCGGACAGUGUCUGGUGGGUAGUUUGACUGGGGCGGUCUCCUCCUAAAGAGUAACGGAGGAGCACGAAGGUUGGCUAAUCCUGGUCGGACAUCAGGAGGUUAGUGCAAUGGCAUAAGCCAGCUUGACUGCGAGCGUGACGGCGCGAGCAGGUGCGAAAGCAGGUCAUAGUGAUCCGGUGGUUCUGAAUGGAAGGGCCAUCGCUCAACGGAUAAAAGGUACUCCGGGGAUAACAGGCUGAUACCGCCCAAGAGUUCAUAUCGACGGCGGUGUUUGGCACCUCGAUGUCGGCUCAUCACAUCCUGGGGCUGAAGUAGGUCCCAAGGGUAUGGCUGUUCGCCAUUUAAAGUGGUACGCGAGCUGGGUUUAGAACGUCGUGAGACAGUUCGGUCCCUAUCUGCCGUGGGCGCUGGAGAACUGAGGGGGGCUGCUCCUAGUACGAGAGGACCGGAGUGGACGCAUCACUGGUGUUCGGGUUGUCAUGCCAAUGGCACUGCCCGGUAGCUAAAUGCGGAAGAGAUAAGUGCUGAAAGCAUCUAAGCACGAAACUUGCC
This 2344-nucleotide ribosomal RNA is filed under the name Escherichia coli. RNAcentral's name for it is "partial 23S ribosomal RNA". It matches the Rfam family "Bacterial large subunit ribosomal RNA", at positions 469 to 2798 of the family's 2925-position model. The record is from RNAcentral. Lineage: Bacteria; Pseudomonadati; Pseudomonadota; Gammaproteobacteria; Enterobacterales; Enterobacteriaceae.